Molecule: ribosomal RNA, 305 nt
Filed under: uncultured bacterium
Lineage: Bacteria
Description: bacterial SSU rRNA
Rfam family: Bacterial small subunit ribosomal RNA
Source: RNAcentral
GUUCCUACGGGGGGCAGCAGUGGGGAAUAUUGCACAAUGGGGGAAACCCUGAUGCAGCGACGCCGCGUGAGUGAAGAAGUAAUUCGUUAUGUAAAGCUCUAUCAGCAGGGAAGAAAAUGACAGUACCUGAGUAAGGAAGCACCGGCUAACUCCGUGCCAGCAGCCGCGGUAAUACGGAGGGUGCGAGCGUUAAUCGGAAUUACUGGGCGUAAAGCGCUCGUAGGCGGUAUGUCAAGUCAAGGGUGAAAUCCCCGCGCUCAACGUGGGAACUGCCUUUGAAACUGGCAAACUGGAGUGUGUGAGAG